This 855-nucleotide ribosomal RNA is filed under the name Streptomyces sp. Its description in RNAcentral is "bacterial SSU rRNA". It matches the Rfam family "Bacterial small subunit ribosomal RNA", at positions 94 to 967 of the family's 1533-position model. The record is from RNAcentral. Lineage: Bacteria; Bacillati; Actinomycetota; Actinomycetes; Kitasatosporales; Streptomycetaceae.
AGUGGCGACGGGUGAGUAACACGUGGGCAAUCUGCCCUUCACUCUGGGACAAGCCCUGGAAACGGGGUCUAAUACCGGAUAACACUCUGUCCCGCAUGGGACGGGGUUAAAAGCUCCGGCGGUGAAGGAUGAGCCCGCGGCCUAUCAGCUUGUUGGUGGGGUAAUGGCCUACCAAGGCGACGACGGGUAGCCGGCCUGAGAGGGCGACCGGCCACACUGGGACUGAGACACGGCCCAGACUCCUACGGGAGGCAGCAGUGGGGAAUAUUGCACAAUGGGCGAAAGCCUGAUGCAGCGACGCCGCGUGAGGGAUGACGGCCUUCGGGUUGUAAACCUCUUUCAGCAGGGAAGAAGCGAAAGUGACGGUACCUGCAGAAGAAGCGCCGGCUAACUACGUGCCAGCAGCCGCGGUAAUACGUAGGGCGCAAGCGUUGUCCGGAAUUAUUGGGCGUAAAGAGCUCGUAGGCGGCUUGUCACGUCGGAUGUGAAAGCCCGGGGCUUAACCCCGGGUCUGCAUUCGAUACGGGCUAGCUAGAGUGUGGUAGGGGAGAUCGGAAUUCCUGGUGUAGCGGUGAAAUGCGCAGAUAUCAGGAGGAACACCGGUGGCGAAGGCGGAUCUCUGGGCCAUUACUGACGCUGAGGAGCGAAAGCGUGGGGAGCGAACAGGAUUAGAUACCCUGGUAGUCCACGCCGUAAACGUUGGGAACUAGGUGUUGGCGACAUUCCACGUCGUCGGUGCCGCAGCUAACGCAUUAAGUUCCCCGCCUGGGGAGUACGGCCGCAAGGCUAAACUCAAGGAUUGACGGGGCCCGCACAGCAGCGGAGCAUGUGGCUUAAUUCGACGCAACGCGAAGA